UGGUUAGAGUUGGAGACAAACGACGUAGGACGUGACGAAUAAACGAAUCCUUUCCACUGACUCACUCGUACCCAUCGAGAAGUCUACGGGUGUCGGCCUUGUUCACGCGCCGCACGAUGGCGGUCAAGUUGUCCUACCUCGUGGACCACCUCGUGUACGCGCGCAGCGUGGUAAGCGGCGUGCUCGGCGCGACGCCGCAGACGCCGUUCGUGACGGCGAGCGAGCUGCGGGAGGCGCUGGUGGAGCCGAAGCCGCGGAGGGACGGGGGGUUCGGGCGGACGCGGUGCCGGAAGCGACGGUUCCCGACGGGGGAGACGGAGCGGCAGAAGAGAUCGAGGCCGAGGGAGGCGCAGGUGUCGGGUUGGACAGUGGAGAGGGCGGGAGGCCAAGGGAGCUCCCGGUACGGUUCUCACCGGCAGCCGCCACACCACCGCGACCCCACGUUCUACCACCCGCCGCCCUCGCUGCCCUGCGACCUGCACACGCCCGCGCAGACGCAGUAGCUGCUCUUACUCUGGUAGCAGAAGCUCUUGAAACACUCCGGCGAGGAGGGCCACUGCGUGAUGGCCAUGCUCUGGUGCCCCUAGGCGGGGCUCAUGGACGCCCUGCGCGGCUGCCACUUCUGCCACGUCGCCGUCCAUCUCCUGUAGGAGGAGUUGCCGCUCGUCGGCACCUUCUAGGCCAGGAGGGCGCCGCGCCGGUCCGAGGAGCAGCCGGUGCCGGACCUCGUGCUAGAGUUGCACGACCCGUACCUGAUGGGCCGCAUGGACUUCGCCCUGUGCCGCCUUAUGGGCGGCGACCACUUCUGCUCGCGGUCCGACUACUCGUUGAGCGAGGCCAAGGAGUGUGUUUCGACGGAGCCGAUGCUUUAGGUCUGCCCGGUGGUCGUGGGGAUGCUCCUGACGCACCGCCGGUACGCCGACAUGUUCUCCUACGCGCGCUACUCCGUGCCGGUCGGGUUCUUGCCGCCGCUUCCGCUACCCACGCGCCGCCACCGUAAGGGUCGCGCCUCCGUCGCCCUCGACCUCGCGUACAGCGGCCUCCUCGAGGAAUCGUACAGGUUCGGCCUGAUGGUGACGACCACGGAGCUGCUGAUCGAUCGGUGCCGGUCACGCUCCGACGGUCGCCUUAAGCUAAGAAGCGCGAAAUGAAUCAACUAGUUUUAUGGUGCACGAACAAUGUAUCGAUCGACGUCAUGUUGCACCACUUAUUCUUUGCCUCUCUCCCCCUCCCUCUCUCUCAUCUGUAUACGUCUGCGCUCAUCCUGACAUCCUCAUAUAUAUACAUGUACAGGGUCACUUACGACCAAGUAGAUGUAUGAAAUACUUGAUUACCUGUACUUAGAGUUCC
This 1350-nucleotide ribosomal RNA is filed under the name Triticum aestivum (bread wheat). RNAcentral's name for it is "partial small subunit ribosomal RNA". Lineage: Eukaryota; Viridiplantae; Streptophyta; Magnoliopsida; Poales; Poaceae. The record is from RNAcentral.